GAUCAUGGCUCAAGAUGAACGCUGGCGGCGUGCUUAACACAUGCAAGUCGAACGGAACUCCUAUGAUUGAGGUUUCGGCCAAAAGAAUAGGAUGUUUAGUGGCGGACGGGUGAGUAACGCGUGAGUAACCUGCCUUGGAGUGGGGAAUAACACAGUGAAAACUGUGCUAAUACCGCAUAAUGCAUUUGAGUCGCAUGAUUCUGAAUGCCAAAGAUUUAUCG
This 221-nucleotide ribosomal RNA is filed under the name uncultured bacterium. RNAcentral's name for it is "partial 16S ribosomal RNA". It matches the Rfam family "Bacterial small subunit ribosomal RNA", at positions 15 to 217 of the family's 1533-position model. The record is from RNAcentral.